GGAUAACCGUAGUAAUUCUAGGGCUAAUACGUGCGAAGCGCCGAGCCGCGAGGCGACGGCGUUCUCGCCGGAUGUAGGAACCGACCCGGGGGACCGCCGGGGGCAACCCCGGCGCCCCCGAGACGGGGCGAACCACGGUGAAAUGACGGAUCGUCGGCCCCGCGCCGGCGACUCGCCGAAUGAGUUUCUGACCUAUCAACUCGAGACGGCGGGGUAGAGGCCCGCCGCGGUAACGACGGGUAACGGGGAAUCAGGGUUCGAUUCCGGAGAGGGAGCCCGAGAAACGGCUACCACUUCCAAGGAAGGCAGCAGGCGCGCAACUUACCCUAAUCUCGAUUCGAGGAGGUAGUGACAAGAAAUACCGAUGCGGGACCCUACGGGUGCCGCGUUCGGAAUGAGUACGAUUCGAACCACCUAACGAGGAACGAUCGGAGGGCAAGUCUGGUGCCAGCAGCCGCGGU
This 461-nucleotide ribosomal RNA is filed under the name uncultured eukaryote. RNAcentral describes it as "bacterial SSU rRNA". It matches the Rfam family "Eukaryotic small subunit ribosomal RNA", at positions 141 to 580 of the family's 1831-position model. The record is from RNAcentral.